Molecule: RNA transcript, 1538 nt
Organism: Glycine soja
Lineage: Eukaryota; Viridiplantae; Streptophyta; Magnoliopsida; Fabales; Fabaceae
Gene name: protein POOR HOMOLOGOUS SYNAPSIS 1
Exons: 9
Source: RefSeq, a predicted model, not a curated record
ACCACGGCAGAGACUGUGCGUGCGGCAUCCCCAAAAGAAAGAAACCGUAGCGCGCCCCGUCCCCGCGCGUAGGCAUUUUGGUACCGCAUAUAUAAAUAAAAGUAACCUCAAGUUAAAAAAAGAGAGCAUUUGAAUUGAAAGAAGGGAAAAAAUGGCGGGCAAUCUGGCAGUAAUAGAACACUCCAACAAGAACUCGGCGAGGCUGAGAGAGCAGUGGGAGAUCUGCUUCGCUCGCUUCAUCCCCUAUCCCACUCUCCCUCCCUCUUCUGAUCUCCUUCCCCUCCCUCCUCGCCUCCGCAACCUCUCUCCCCGCGGCAACUGGAUCUCCUCCUCCUCCGUCGCCUUCCUCCGCCUCUCCCUCUCCCACCUCCUCCUCACCGUCUCCUUCAACGCCGCUCUCCUCGAGGAGCACUAUGUGACGAAGCUGCAUUUCACGUGGCCUCAGGUGUCGUGCGUCUCUGGAUACCCUGCCAGGGGCAUCAGGACUGUGAUCGUUAGCUACAGAGAUUCCCUAGGCGAGAUUCAAAAGUUUGCUAUGCGAUUUCCAACAAUCUAUGAAGCAGAGUCAUUUAUCAAUGUUUUGAAGGAGAUUCUGAAAGGUGACAAAGACCCAGAACCUUUGAAUACCGACUUUGGUUCUGAAAUUUCGUCGCAGUCAGAGUUCAUGUCAACAAACAAGCUCUCCCACAGCAGAGCUUGUGAGGAUCUGAGCUUUAUGACUCCAGUUGACAAUUACAUUCCACAAUUGCCAUUAUAUGCAAAUAAUGAGGUGGGGCGACCUUUAGGAUCUCAAGAAAAGGGAACAACAUCUGGUCACAACUUUGAAGGCAUGCUCCCAGCCUUGCCACCCAGUUUUUCCACACUACUUAUGGAUUGCUCUCAGAACAACCAUGCUCAACCAACCUUUUCUGAUAAAAUUGAGCUCAAAUCAUUUGUUGCAGCUCAAUCAAUUGUUUCGGAGGAAAUUGAGCUCAAAUCCCAAAUUGUGAGGUACAUGGAAGAUUCAUCCUUCCAAGACAUGUUGGUUAAGGUGGAGAAAGUUAUCAGCGAAUUGGGGGGUGAUAUGUCGCUCUAGAUGUCCAGGGCAUUGAAAAUUGCAUAACGAGCAGCUUAGCAUCUCUUCCUGCUUACUGAAUACUGAACCAUGAUGACCUUUACCACAUAUGGCCCAAAAAAUUUGCAGGAAUGAUAGUGGAGUAGUGGAAGAGUAGUGGGAUGCCUUGGUGCUGAUUGUUUGGUACGUGGCUAAAUAGUCAUUGAGGUAUGUGGGUCUUUUGGUGCACCUUUGUGGUUUGCUAGUGUAUGGUUGGCUGUAAUUGCUAACAUAUAAGAUUUGCACAAGGCAUCAUAGCUUUCCCAUGUAGUAUCCUUUGGAGCCAAGCCAGACCAUUGGACUAAAACCAAUUUGGUUGGAGGGGAAACAGAAUUAUCCCACUUCCAAUCCAACACAUAAAGUGGUUGCACAACUGGGUGAUGAUUGUUAGUCGCUUUAUACAACUAACUUUUGUAUAGAAAUCAUUUUUCUAAGCUUGUAUAGU